UACAGAGGAUGCAAGCGUUAUCCGGAAUGAUUGGGCAUAAAGCGUCUGUAGGUGGCUUUUUAAGUCCGCCGUCAAAUCCCAGGGCUCAACUCUGGACAGGCGGUGGAAACUACCAAGCUGGAGUACGGUAGGGGCAGAGGGAAUUUCCGGUGGAGCGGUGAAAUGCGCAGAUAUCAGGAGGAACACCGGUGGCGAAGGCGGGUCUCUGGGCCACUACUGACGCUGAGGAGCGAAAGCGUGGGGAGCGAACAGG
RNAcentral lists this ribosomal RNA (253 nucleotides) under uncultured bacterium. RNAcentral describes it as "partial 16S ribosomal RNA". It matches the Rfam family "Bacterial small subunit ribosomal RNA", at positions 524 to 776 of the family's 1533-position model. The record is from RNAcentral.